Molecule: small RNA, 807 nt
Filed under: Pan troglodytes (chimpanzee)
Lineage: Eukaryota; Metazoa; Chordata; Mammalia; Primates; Hominidae
Description: retained intron
Source: RNAcentral
AGGGGCAGAACAUGGUGUGCGGCGGCAUGGGCUGCAACAAUGAUUCCCUGGUGCAGCAGAUAUUUAACGCGGCGCAGCUGGACAACUAGUCAGUACCACCUUGUCUUGUACUUCAGAAGCAGUGGAGGAGGCUCUCAGCCAGGCAGUCAGCUCAGGCCUGAAAUGUCUCACUGAAAAUAGACUUUCUUGGAAAAGUUGUUUUUAUGCAAAAUGUAUGUUAAAUCUGGCUUUACCUUAACAAAACCUUUGAAAGGACUAAUUUACCACCUAAUACUUUGAAGGCUUUUUUCAUUAAGUGCUCAUGUAGUUUUUCUUUUGACUGUUAGCAGUAUAAAAUGUAGAAAAGGAAGUUAGGUUUUAAGAAAAAGUACUGAAACUAAAGACUUCCUCCCUGUGGAGCAGGUCAGUAACCCUGUCUGUCCUCUCUAGUACCCGAAUAGGCUUCGCCCCCUCGUCCUGGAUCGACGAUUAUUUCGACUGGGUGAAGCCACAGUCGUCUUGCUGUCGAGUGGACAAUAUCACUGACCAGUUCUGCAAUGCUUCAGUGGUUGACCCUGCCUGCGUCCGCUGCAGGCCUCUGACUCCGGAAGGCAAACAGAGGCCUCAGGGGGGAGACUUCAUGAGAUUCCUGCCCAUGUUCCUUUCGGAUAACCCUAACCCCAAGUGUGGCAAAGGGGGACAUGCUGCCUAUAGUUCUGCAGUUAACAUCCUUGGCAAUGGCACCAGGGUCGGAGCCACGUACUUCAUGACCUACCACACCGUGCUGCAGACCUCUGCUGACUUUAUUGACGCUCUGAAGAAAGCCCG